Molecule: ribosomal RNA, 546 nt
Filed under: Amazonian soil bacterium P2
Lineage: Bacteria
Description: bacterial SSU rRNA
Rfam family: Bacterial small subunit ribosomal RNA
Source: RNAcentral
GCAAGGUAAAAUCAAGGAANGGACGGGGGCCCGCACAAGCGGCGGAGCAUUGGAUUAAUUCGAUGCAACGCGAAGACCUUACUGGGCUNGACAUGGACUAGAAUCUUNAGAGAUGGGGGUCCCUUGUGGCUGGUUCACAGUGGNGCAUGGCUGUCGUCAGCUCGUGUCGUGAGAUGUUGGGUUAAGUCCCGCAACGAGCGCAACCCUCGUUCCAUGUUGCCAGCGCGUAAUGGCGGGGACUCAUGGGAGACUGCCGGGGUCAACUCGGAGGAAGGUGGGGAUGACGUCAAGUCAUCAUGCCCCUUAUGUCCAGGGCUUCACACAUGCUACAAUGGCCGGUACAAAGGGCUGCUAAACCGUGAGGUGGAGCGAAUCCCAUAAAGCCGGUCUCAGUUCGGAUCGGGGUCUGCAACUCGACCCCGUGAAGUCGGAGUCGCUAGUAAUCGCAGAUCAGCAACGCUGCGGUGAAUACGUUCCCGGGCCUUGUACACACCGCCCGUCACGUCACGAAAGUCGGUAACACCCGAAGCCCGUGGCCCAACUCUU